UCUCUGAUAGCUCAACGGUAGAGCUCUCAAUGUACAGUAUGUCGAUGACAGUAUCUACACAGUCGAGAGAUGUUGGUUCGACUCCAACUCGGAGAA
Stereum hirsutum FP-91666 SS1 is the source of this 96-nucleotide non-coding RNA. The record is from the annotation of a RefSeq genome assembly. Lineage: Eukaryota; Fungi; Basidiomycota; Agaricomycetes; Russulales; Stereaceae.